Molecule: ribosomal RNA, 247 nt
Filed under: uncultured bacterium
Lineage: Bacteria
Description: partial 16S ribosomal RNA
Rfam family: Bacterial small subunit ribosomal RNA
Source: RNAcentral
AUACGGAGGAUGCAAGCGUUAUCCGGAUUUAUUGGGUUUAAAGGGUGCGCAGGCUGACCGGUAAGUCAGGGGUGAAACUUUACAGCUUAACUGUAAACGUGCCUUUGAUACUGCCGGACUAGAGUUUAAGAGACGUAAUUGGAAUGUGAUGUGUAGCGGUGAAAUGCUUAGAUAUAUCACAGAACGCCGAUCGUGAAGACAGAUUACGAACUUAAUACUGACGCUCAUGCACGAAAGCGUGGGGAGC